This is a long non-coding RNA of Bombina bombina (fire-bellied toad), 510 nucleotides long. RefSeq lists it as uncharacterized. The transcript is spliced from 2 exons. NCBI's taxonomy places the organism in Eukaryota, Metazoa, Chordata, Amphibia, Anura, Bombinatoridae. The record is from RefSeq and is a predicted model, not a curated record.
GUUCAAGAUCUUCUUCAGUUGUUUCCAGACCAUCUACCAGUGCAGUUGUUUCCAGACCAUCUACCAGGGGAGCUCAUGGUCAAUUUAUACGGUCCACAUCUGCAGGUACACUCCUUGAUGUAAGGACCAGCACUCCAGAAACAGGUGUUGGAAGAGCAACUGAAUAAGAGAUGAAAAGUCCUGUUUUGAUGGAAUAGAAGAAAUCACAGAUUUGGGAACACAUACCAUGGCAUUUUCUCUGAAUCUGACUUUGAAGAAAUUGACGGUUGCUGUGACCUAAGAGAUAAUAAAGUAGAUUCUUUGGAUUAAUGUGUAUUAGUAGCCUUGAAGUAAUUAUCCACAGAUGGAGUUGAAGGGCCACCAGCUUUAAUUUGCUUUUCUUUUUGUGGAUUUUUACUAGGAGACAUACUGUUUUUUAUUGUAUAAAACUUGCCUAGUAAAAGCAAUGCCCAAUUGGUGAUGUGUUUCUUUAAAUAAUCUCUGAAAUAAACACUGGUGCUUUGUACUAAA